UUUUAUUUUUUAUAUUUUUAAGAAAAUGACUGAUCGUUUCAUUAUAUAAGUUGCGACUGAUUAAUUCUUUACGACUGAAGAAAGGGAGACAUGAACAUCUUGGAUGACGCUGAAAGCACACCCACAAGGAAUGCAAGCAUCUCUCUCAGAAUUAUGAUGGACUAUCUUCCUGAGUAUGAAAAUAUGGACUCUCCAGAAUCAAACAAACUUAUUUCCAUCUUAAAUCGUGAGAUUUCAAUCCUUUGUAAAAGGGCAGAUGCACAAAAUUUCAAAAAUGUGCACAUACAUAGGCUUAUGCAAGGAAGUGUCGUUGCUGAAAGUACUGCAGUAUAUAACUAUCCCAACAACAACUCGCAAAUAAUGUUUCUAAAUAAUGAUUUGGGACCCACCCUGGAAAAAAUCUUUAACGACUCAGAUUCAUUUAAAAAUCUCAGUAUAGAUCUCGGUAAUGUUGCCAUCCAAAGUGACCAAAUUACCAUGGAGCCAGUUAAAAUAUCAAACAUUUCAGAUCUGCAGUCAUUUGUGCAAUGCACAGUGAAUUUUGCAAACUUAACAGUAGAGAUUGAAGAUGGAGCAUGGGUAUGUGUGGGACCAUGUAAAAAAAAUCCAGAAUUCUGCAAUCAACGAGGUGAAUGCCUAAAUGAAAUAAAUGGACCACAGUGCAUGUGUUACAGUACUCCCUUUGAGGAGUACUAUGGAGCUCAGUGUGAGCUUUACAAAAGAGGGGCCGGUUUCUACGCUGUUCUCUUCGGCUGUUUAGCAGCUUUUGCUGUAUUUAUCAUUGUCUUGGCUGUGAUGAUUGUGGUGCUCUACAGAGCCAAGAGAAAAUCAAGCAAAAGGAGGUUAUCACUUUUUGGUGAUGUCUUCUUUGAUUUUACAUCAAGAGGAUCCAUGGACAGAGGUUAUGGGCAUCAAAAUUUUUCAUUCUCAGAAUAUUCAG
Molecule: long non-coding RNA, 940 nt
Organism: Cyprinus carpio carpio
Lineage: Eukaryota; Metazoa; Chordata; Actinopteri; Cypriniformes; Cyprinidae
Source: Ensembl